RNAcentral lists this ribosomal RNA (513 nucleotides) under uncultured bacterium. Its description in RNAcentral is "partial 16S ribosomal RNA". It matches the Rfam family "Bacterial small subunit ribosomal RNA", at positions 28 to 523 of the family's 1533-position model. The record is from RNAcentral.
GACGAACGCUGGCGGCAUGCCUAAUACAUGCAAGUCGAGCGAACAGAUGAAGUGCUUGCACUUCUGACGUUAGCGGCGAACGGGUGAGUAACACGUAAGGAAUCUACCUAUAAGCGGGGGAUAACAUUCGGAAACGGGUGCUAAUACCGCAUAAUAUCUUCUUCCGCAUGGAAGAAGAUUGAAAGACGGCUCUGCUGUCACUUAUAGAUGACCUUGCGGUGCAUUAGUUAGUUGGUGGGGUAACGGCCUACCAAGACGAUGAUGCAUAGCCGACCUGAGAGGGGUAUCGGCCACAUUGGGACUGAAAACCGACCCAACCUCCUACGGGAGGAAGCAGUAGGGAAUCGUCCGCAAUGGGCGAAAGCCUGACGGAGCAAUGCCGCGUGAGAGAAAAAGGCUUUCGGGUCGUAAACCUCGAUUAUAAGAAAAGAACAAUUUGUAGAGUAACUGUUACAGUCUUGACGGUAUCUUAUCAAAAAGCCACGGCUGACUACGUGCCAGCCGCCGCCGUAA